RNAcentral lists this ribosomal RNA (450 nucleotides) under uncultured bacterium. RNAcentral's name for it is "partial 16S ribosomal RNA". It matches the Rfam family "Bacterial small subunit ribosomal RNA", at positions 354 to 796 of the family's 1533-position model. The record is from RNAcentral.
GUGGGGAAUAUUGGACAAUGGGCGAAAGCCUGAUCCAGCCAUGCCGCGUGUGUGAAGAUGGUCUUCGGAUUGUAAAGCACUUUAAGUUGGGAGGAAGGGCAGUAAGUUAAUACCUUGCUGUUUUGACGUUACCGACAGAAUAAGCACCGGCUAACUUCGUGCCAGCAGCCGCGGUAAUACGAAGGGUGCAAGCGUUAAUCGGAAUUACUGGGCGUAAAGCGCGCGUAGGUGGUUUUGUAAGUUGGAGGUGAAAUCCCCGGGCUCAACCUGGGAACUGCCUCCAAAACUGCAUGACUAGAGUACGGUAGAGGGUAGUGGAAUUUCCUGUGUAGCGGUGAAAUGCGUAGAUAUAGGAAGGAACACCAGUGGCGCAGGCGACUACCUGGACUGAUACUGACACUGAGGUGCGAAAGCGUGGGGAGCAAACAGGAUUAGAAACCCUGGUAGUCC